RNAcentral lists this ribosomal RNA (253 nucleotides) under uncultured prokaryote. Its description in RNAcentral is "partial 16S ribosomal RNA". It matches the Rfam family "Bacterial small subunit ribosomal RNA", at positions 524 to 776 of the family's 1533-position model. The record is from RNAcentral.
UACAGAGGUCUCGAGCGUUAGGCGGAAUCACUGGGCUUAAAGCGUGUGUAGGCGGGUCGUUAAGUAUCUUGUGAAAUCCCACGGCUUAACCGUGGAACUGCUGGAUAUACUGGCGAUCUUGUGCAACCUAGGGGCGAGCGGAACAGAUGGUGGAGCGGUGAAAUGCGUAGAUAUCAUCUGGAACGCCAAUGGUGAAGACAGCUCGCUGAGGGUUUGCAGACGCUGAGACACGAAAGCCAGGGGAGCGAACGGG